GCCGUCUCGGCCCUGGCGGAGACCUUCGCGGGCUGGCGGCUCGGGCCCGACGCGGUCGUCGGCGUGCAGCUCGGUUCGGGGCCGGAGGCGGCGC
RNAcentral lists this transfer RNA (94 nucleotides) under Methylopila turkensis. Its description in RNAcentral is "tRNA-Ala". The record is from RNAcentral. Lineage: Bacteria; Pseudomonadati; Pseudomonadota; Alphaproteobacteria; Hyphomicrobiales; Methylopilaceae.